GACGAACGCUGGCGGCGUGCCUAAUACAUGCAAGUUGAGCGAUGAAGAUUGGUGCUUGCACCAAUUUGAAGAGCAGCGAACGGGUGAGUAACGCGUGGGGAAUCUGCCUUUGAGCGGGGGACAACAUUUGGAAACGAAUGCUAAUACCGCAUAACAACUUUAAACAUAAGUUUUAAGUUUGAAAGAUGCAAUUGCAUCACUCAAAGAUGAUCCCGCGUUGUAUUAGCUAGUUGGUGAGGUAAAGGCUCACCAAGGCGAUGAUACAUAGCCGACCUGAGAGGGUGAUCGGCCACAUUGGGACUGAGACACGGCCCAAACUCCUACGGGAGGCAGCAGUAGGGAAUCUUCGGCAAUGGAAGAAAGUCUGACCGAGCAACGCCGCGUGAGUGAAGAAGGGUGUCGGAUCGUAAAACUCUGUUGGUAGAGAAGAACGUUGGUGAGAGUGGAAAGCUCAUCAAGUGACGGUAACUACCCAGAAAGGGACGGCUAACUACGUG
Molecule: ribosomal RNA, 497 nt
Filed under: uncultured bacterium
Lineage: Bacteria
Description: partial 16S ribosomal RNA
Rfam family: Bacterial small subunit ribosomal RNA
Source: RNAcentral